GACGAACGCUGGCGGCGUGCUUAACACAUGCAAGUCGAACGUGAUUUUUGUGGAAAUUCUUUCGGGAAUGGAAAUGAAAUGAAAGUGGCGAACGGGUGAGUAACACGUGAGCAACCUACCUUACACAGGGGGAUAGCCGUUGGAAACGACGAUUAAUACCGCAUGAGACCACAGAAUCGCAUGAUAUAGGGGUCAAAGAUUUAUCGGUGUAAGAAGGGCUCGCGUCUGAUUAGCUAGUUGGAAGGGUAAAGGCCUACCAAGGCGACGAUCAGUAGCCGGUCUGAGAGGAUGAACGGCCACAUUGGAACUGAGACACGGUCCAAACUCCUACGGGAGGCAGCAGUGGGGAAUAUUGCACAAUGGGGGGAACCCUGAUGCAGCGACGCCGCGUGAGCGAAGAAGGUUUUCGAAUCGUAAAGCUCUGUCCUAUGAGAAGAUAAU
RNAcentral lists this ribosomal RNA (441 nucleotides) under Parvimonas micra. RNAcentral describes it as "bacterial SSU rRNA". It matches the Rfam family "Bacterial small subunit ribosomal RNA", at positions 28 to 452 of the family's 1533-position model. Lineage: Bacteria; Bacillati; Bacillota; Tissierellia; Tissierellales; Peptoniphilaceae. The record is from RNAcentral.